UCCUACGGGGCGCAGCAGUGAGGAAUAUUGGUCAAUGGACGAGAGUCUGAACCAGCCAAGUAGCGUGAAGGAUGACUGCCCUAUGGGUUGUAAACUUCUUUUGUCAGGGAGCAAAGGGCGCCACGUGUGGCGUUUUGCGAGUACCUGAAGAAAAAGCAUCGGCUAACUCCGUGCCAGCAGCCGCGGUAAUACGGAGGAUGCGAGCGUUAUCCGGAUUUAUUGGGUUUAAAGGGUGCGCAGGCGGAAUGUCAAGUCAGCGGUAAAAUUUCGGGGCUCA
This 277-nucleotide ribosomal RNA is filed under the name uncultured bacterium. Its description in RNAcentral is "partial 16S ribosomal RNA". It matches the Rfam family "Bacterial small subunit ribosomal RNA", at positions 337 to 611 of the family's 1533-position model. The record is from RNAcentral.